AGAGAGAGACAUGCGCGCAUAUCAAUAAGCGGAGGAAAAGAAACUAACAAGGAUUCCCCUAGUAACGGCGAGUGAAGCGGGAAGAGCUCAAAUUUGAAAUCUUAAAGGGUUUCCCUUUACGAAUUGUAGUUUAAAGAAGUGUUUUCUGUUGGAGUUUCGGUAAAAGUUCUUUGGAAUAGGACAUCAUAGAGGGUGAGAAUCCCGUAUUUGACCGUUACUUUCCAGCUGUGUGAUACACUUUCAAAGAGUCGGAUUGUUUGGGAAUGCGGUCCAAAAUGGGUGGUAAAUUUCAUCUAAAGCUAAAUAUUGGCGAGAGACCGAUAGCGAACAAGUACCGUGAGGGAAAGAUGAAAAGAACUUUGAAAAGAGAGUUAAACAGUACGUGAAAUUGUCAAAAGGGAAGCGUUUGACACCAGUGUUGUUUUCUCGGAAAUCAAUUAAAAAUGGCAGGAUUUUGUGUUGUAUUGACUUUAUCAGCUUUCUGCACUUUUUUCUUGUCUUUUUUAAUGCACUUUUCGUUUAACAAGUCAACAUCAAUUUCUUUUGUUGUAAAAGGGUAAGAGGAAGGUGGCUUGCGCUUCGGCUCAAGUGUUUAUAGCCUUUGAUCUCUGCAACCGGAGAGACUGAGGUCUGCAGCGUAGACUCUUCGGGGUUAGAUACAUUUGUGCUAAGCUAUAGCUUUUUAUAGACAACUUGUUGACUAUAUUUAGUCUUGUGGCUUACUCGCUUAUGCUAUUUUACCUACGCUUAGGAUGUUGACAGCAGUAUAGACUGU
RNAcentral lists this ribosomal RNA (775 nucleotides) under uncultured Neocallimastigales. RNAcentral's name for it is "partial large subunit ribosomal RNA". It matches the Rfam family "Eukaryotic large subunit ribosomal RNA", at positions 23 to 633 of the family's 3401-position model. The record is from RNAcentral. Lineage: Eukaryota; Fungi; Neocallimastigomycota; Neocallimastigomycetes; Neocallimastigales.